CCCUUAGGGUUUCUAAAAGAAAUUUAGUCAUUUGGCCUUUUGGGUCAAUUUCGAUUUAGGCUAUUGGGCUAAAGGUCCAUUUUAGAUUUGGGUUAUUAUUUUUUCUGCAUUUGGGCCAUUGUUUUGGGACAUUUGUAUUCGGGCUUGUAAAAAAAUUUAAGCUAAUCGGGCUUUAUAUUUAUUUGGAUUUUGUAAUUGAUGGACUUGCUGAACUGUUACAAAUUUAGACGUUAUUUACUGUUUUUU
Molecule: long non-coding RNA, 246 nt
Filed under: Gossypium barbadense (sea-island cotton)
Lineage: Eukaryota; Viridiplantae; Streptophyta; Magnoliopsida; Malvales; Malvaceae
Description: long non-coding RNA (GBAR_LNC004695)
Source: RNAcentral